This 1307-nucleotide ribosomal RNA is filed under the name Salmonella enterica subsp. enterica serovar Enteritidis. RNAcentral's name for it is "partial 23S ribosomal RNA". It matches the Rfam family "Bacterial large subunit ribosomal RNA", at positions 1518 to 2803 of the family's 2925-position model. The record is from RNAcentral. Lineage: Bacteria; Pseudomonadati; Pseudomonadota; Gammaproteobacteria; Enterobacterales; Enterobacteriaceae.
GUGUAGGUGUGUGUUCCAGGUAAAUCCGGUUCACUUUAACACUGAGGCGUGACGACGAGGCACUACGGUGCUGAAGCAACAAAUGCCCUGCUUCCAGGAAAAGCCUCUAAGCAUCAGGUAACAUCAAAUCGUACCCCAAACCGACACAGGUGGUCAGGUAGAGAAUACCAAGGCGCUUGAGAGAACUCGGGUGAAGGAACUAGGCAAAAUGGUGCCGUAACUUCGGGAGAAGGCACGCUGACACGUAGGUGAAGUGAUUUACUCAUGGAGCUGAAGUCAGUCGAAGAUACCAGCUGGCUGCAACUGUUUAUUAAAAACACAGCACUGUGCAAACACGAAAGUGGACGUAUACGGUGUGACGCCUGCCCGGUGCCGGAAGGUUAAUUGAUGGGGUCAGCGCAAGCGAAGCUCCUGAUCGAAGCCCCGGUAAACGGCGGCCGUAACUAUAACGGUCCUAAGGUAGCGAAAUUCCUUGUCGGGUAAGUUCCGACCUGCACGAAUGGCGUAAUGAUGGCCAGGCUGUCUCCACCCGAGACUCAGUGAAAUUGAACUCGCUGUGAAGAUGCAGUGUACCCGCGGCAAGACGGAAAGACCCCGUGAACCUUUACUAUAGCUUGACACUGAACAUUGAGCCUUGAUGUGUAGGAUAGGUGGGAGGCUUUGAAGUGUGGACGCCAGUCUGCAUGGAGCCGACCUUGAAAUACCACCCUUUAAUGUUUGAUGUUCUAACGUGGACCCGUUACCCGGGUUGCGGACAGUGUCUGGUGGGUAGUUUGACUGGGGCGGUCUCCUCCUAAAGAGUAACGGAGGAGCACGAAGGUUGGCUAAUCCUGGUCGGACAUCAGGAGGUUAGUGCAAUGGCAUAAGCCAGCUUGACUGCGAGCGUGACGGCGCGAGCAGGUGCGAAAGCAGGUCAUAGUGAUCCGGUGGUUCUGAAUGGAAGGGCCAUCGCUCAACGGAUAAAAGGUACUCCGGGGAUAACAGGCUGAUACCGCCCAAGAGUUCAUAUCGACGGCGGUGUUUGGCACCUCGAUGUCGGCUCAUCACAUCCUGGGGCUGAAGUAGGUCCCAAGGGUAUGGCUGUUCGCCAUUUAAAGUGGUACGCGAGCUGGGUUUAGAACGUCGUGAGACAGUUCGGUCCCUAUCUGCCGUGGGCGCUGGAGAACUGAGGGGGGCUGCUCCUAGUACGAGAGGACCGGAGUGGACGCAUCACUGGUGUUCGGGUUGUCAUGCCAAUGGCACUGCCCGGUAGCUAAAUGCGGAAGAGAUAAGUGCUGAAAGCAUCUAAGCACGAAACUUGCCCCGAG